RNAcentral lists this unclassified non-coding RNA (272 nucleotides) under plant metagenome. RNAcentral describes it as "partial contains small subunit ribosomal RNA, internal transcribed spacer 1, and 5.8S ribosomal RNA". The record is from RNAcentral.
UUUCCGUAGGUGAACCUGCGGAAGGAUCACUAAUGAGUUGUCAUGGGGUUCGAUGCUGGCAGCCAGUUUUUGGAUGCAUGUGCUUGCCCUAACAAUCAUCUUCUUCCAAACACCUGUGCACAUUUUUGAGGGAGUCUUGAGUUGGUUGCCGCUCUUGGGUGAUUUUCUCACAUUCCCUUAAAUCAUUAUACGCUAUUAACAAUGUUGAACGCGCUCUGUGCCGCAAGGCCAUUAAUAUAAUACAACUUUUAACAACGGAUCUCUUGGCUCUC